RNAcentral lists this ribosomal RNA (237 nucleotides) under uncultured bacterium. RNAcentral's name for it is "partial 16S ribosomal RNA". It matches the Rfam family "Bacterial small subunit ribosomal RNA", at positions 95 to 334 of the family's 1533-position model. The record is from RNAcentral.
CCGGCGCACGGGUGCGUAACGCGUAUGCAACCUACCUUUAACAGGGGAUAACACUGAGAAAUUGGUACUAAUACCCCAUAAUAUCAUAGAAGGCAUCUUUUAUGGUUGAAAAUUCCGAUGGUUAGAGAUGGGCAUGCGUUGUAUUAGCUAGUUGGUGGGGUAACGGCUCACCAAGGCGACGAUACAUAGGGGGACUGAGAGGUUGAACGGCCACAUUGGGACUGAGACACGGCCCAG